GACUUCAACAAAAAGUAAAAUGGAUUUUAUCAUACUUGAAAAAUCAACAAUUGCAGUCUGGAUUCAUACAUCACUGUCUGAUGCACCCAACUUGAGUCAAAAAGAUGUUUCAAAUCCCACUAGGCUGGAGGUAAGAUAGCUUCUCAGCUUUCAGCUUUACUUCACGGUUUUAACUAUCAAAAGAAGCAAGGCAUCUGAAGAUUUGCCUGAGACUGAAGGAUCCACUUCUGCGACGACUCCCUCAGGACUUAUAAUGCAGAUGGAACCAGAUUGAGAAAAACCAGCCAACCAACCAACCAACAUGAUGGCUGAACCAGACAAGAGAAGUCCCGAAGUAAAAUACCCACCAAUUACCAGAAUCUGUGCCUGCCAUACAUCGAAGGCUCUGACUUCUUUAUUCCACAUGACUCUGCAAAUCUACGUCUGAACUUAUAUUCUCCUGAAACCAGAACGGAUGAAACUCAUUAGGUGCUCCAGCCUGGGGGAUUAAUGUUUACCUUGAUUUAAUGUCUCAUCAGAAGCAUGACAUCCACAGCACUCUGGCUGCAGCAGGAUUAAAUGAAGCAUGGCCGUUUCUUCAAGAGAGACUUAAACUUCAAGCCUUUAGCCCUAGAGGGAAUGGGCAGGAGAUGAAGAGAGAGUAAAAAUCUAUUGAACUACCAAU
This 664-nucleotide long non-coding RNA is filed under the name Homo sapiens (human). RNAcentral's name for it is "HSALNT0059055". The record is from RNAcentral. Lineage: Eukaryota; Metazoa; Chordata; Mammalia; Primates; Hominidae.